This 473-nucleotide ribosomal RNA is filed under the name uncultured organism. Its description in RNAcentral is "partial 16S ribosomal RNA". It matches the Rfam family "Bacterial small subunit ribosomal RNA", at positions 332 to 797 of the family's 1533-position model. The record is from RNAcentral.
UACACUCCUGCGGGAGGCAGCAGUGGGGAAUUUUGGACAAUGGGCGAAAGCCUGAUCCAGCAAUGCCGCGUGAGUGAAGAAGGCCUUCGGGUUGUAAAGCUCUUUUGUCAGGGAAGAAACGGUGAGAGCUAAUAUCUCUUGCUAAUGACGGUACCUGAAGAAUAAGCACCGGCUAACUACGUGCCAGCAGCCGCGGUAAUACGUAGGGUGCAAGCGUUAAUCGGAAUUACUGGGCGUAAAGCGUGCGCAGGCGGUUUUGUAAGUCUGAUGUGAAAUCCCCGGGCUCAACCUGGGAAUUGCAUUGGAGACUGCAAGGCUAGAAUCUGGCAGAGGGGGGUAGAAUUCCACGUGUAGCAGUGAAAUGCGUAGAUAUGUGGAGGAACACCGAUGGCGAAGGCAGCCCCCUGGGUCAAGAUUGACGCUCAUGCACGAAAGCGUGGGGAGCAAACAGGAUUAGAAACCCGAGUAGUCCC